AGCCGGAGGAGCGGCGCUGGGAUUGGGGGGCGCUGCGGACCCCCGCGGGGCGGCUGAUGGCGGCCGAGACGGAGGCGCUGCGUUCGUGCAGCGGAGCGGUGGUGGCCGCCGUGGUGGCGCUGAUGGCCAUCGUGGCGUCGCGCAGCGUCAUGGCCGCCGUCACCUUCAGCCUGGCCCUGGGGCUGGCGCUGCUCUACGCCUACGACGCCUUCGGCACCAUCCGCACCCGCCUGGCGCCGCCCCACGACCCACAACUGAACGGGACCUGAGAGAGGGAACUCCGACAUCCGGACCCACAACUCUGCCCCAUAGCGUCCCAUAGAUCCCUCCUGCCCCAUAGAUCUGUGCUGCCCCAUAGAUCCACCCCAUAGAUCUGUCCUAUAGAUGCGUGCCCCAUAGCUCUGCCCCAUAGAUCUGUGCUGCCCCAUGGAUCCACCCCAUAGAUGUGCCCUAUAAAUGUGUGCCCCAUAGAUCUGUGCUACCCCAUAGAUCCACCCUAUAGAUGUGUGCCCCAUAGCUCUGCCCCAUAGAUGAUCUGUACUGCCCCAUGGAUCUGUGCUGCCCUAUAGAUCCACCCCAUAGAUCCGCCCCAUAGAUUGUGCCCCAUAGAUGAUCUGUGCCCCAUAGAUCCGUGCUGCCCCAUAGAUCCACCCCAUAGAUCCGCCCCAUAGGUUUGUGCCCCAUAGAUGAGUGCCAUUAAUUAAAGACCGU
RNAcentral lists this long non-coding RNA (711 nucleotides) under Gallus gallus (chicken). RNAcentral's name for it is "lncRNA (ENSGALG00010004090.1)". Lineage: Eukaryota; Metazoa; Chordata; Aves; Galliformes; Phasianidae. The record is from RNAcentral.